UCAAAUCUCUCGAUUUCAGAGACGGUUCUAGUGCCAAUAAGAUAAAAUUCAUUGGUAAGUACUUACCCAGUAAGCUACAAUGCGAACCUCCUGUUCAUGCCCAUACGUACUUUGCAGAGUUAUUUAAGGUGUAGGGGAAGAUGUGAUCUAACCAUAAAUGUGCAAUUUAAAACGGAUAGAUUUUGUUGUGACCCUUAAAUCACCAUAUUUGUGUUGUGGAGGAAGAACACAGAUUCUGGGAUGAGGUCAUCAUGAAAUCUAGAG
RNAcentral lists this long non-coding RNA (264 nucleotides) under Manihot esculenta (cassava). RNAcentral's name for it is "long non-coding RNA (MESC_LNC002677)". The record is from RNAcentral. Lineage: Eukaryota; Viridiplantae; Streptophyta; Magnoliopsida; Malpighiales; Euphorbiaceae.